AAACUUAGGAUAACACCCCACAAACCGAAG
Molecule: transfer RNA, 30 nt
Filed under: Oxyura maccoa
Lineage: Eukaryota; Metazoa; Chordata; Aves; Anseriformes; Anatidae
Also listed under: 1 other name
Description: partial tRNA-Trp
Source: RNAcentral